RNAcentral lists this ribosomal RNA (164 nucleotides) under uncultured bacterium. RNAcentral describes it as "partial 16S rRNA". It matches the Rfam family "Bacterial small subunit ribosomal RNA", at positions 355 to 511 of the family's 1533-position model. The record is from RNAcentral.
UAGGGAAUCUUCCACAAUAGGCGAAAGCCUGAUGGAGCAACGCCGCGUGUGUGAUGAAGGGUUUCCGCUCGUAAAACACUGUUGUAAGAGAAGAAUGACAUUGAGAGUAACUGUUCAAUGUGUGACGGUAUCUUACCAGAAAGGAACGGCUAAAUACGUGCCAU